GAUGAACGCUAGCUACAGGCUUAACACAUGCAAGUCGAGGGGAAACGCCAUCGAAAGCUUGCUUUUGAUGGGCGUCGACCGGCGCACGGGUGAGUAACGCGUAUCCAACCUGCCCAUCACUUGGGAAUAACCUUGCGAAAGUAAGACUAAUACCCAAUGACAUCCCACGAAGACAUCUGAAUGGGAUUAAAGAUUUAUCGGUGAUGGAUGGGGAUGCGUCUGAUUAGCUUGUUGGCGGGGUAACGGCCCACCAAGGCAACGAUCAGUAGGGGUUCUGAGAGGAAGGUCCCCCACAUUGGAACUGAGACACGGUCCAAACUCCUACGGGAGGCAGCAGUGAGGAAUAGUGGUCAAUGGGCGAGAGCCUGAACCAGCCAAGUAGCGUGCAGGAGGACGGCCCUAUGGGUUGUAAACUGCUUUUAUAAGGGAAUAAAGUGGGUCUCGUGAGACUUUUUGCAUGUACCUUAUGAAUAAGGACCGGCUAAUUCCGUG
This 492-nucleotide ribosomal RNA is filed under the name uncultured bacterium. RNAcentral describes it as "partial 16S ribosomal RNA". It matches the Rfam family "Bacterial small subunit ribosomal RNA", at positions 28 to 507 of the family's 1533-position model. The record is from RNAcentral.